Molecule: non-coding RNA, 208 nt
Organism: Arachis ipaensis
Lineage: Eukaryota; Viridiplantae; Streptophyta; Magnoliopsida; Fabales; Fabaceae
Source: RefSeq, a predicted model, not a curated record
GAAGCUGACCUGCGAUCGACAGAAGGUCGCUAUGUCUCCUCUGAAACAAUACCGGACGUGAACUUGGAAAGUGAUGAUCCUUCCUCUCAAGGACACACAGAACAAAGUAGUGUAAAUAGGCCGGCAGAGAGCAUGUUGAGUCUGGUUCAAGAGUCAGCCAGUGAGCCAGCUGAUUCGAAUAUAAUGGUUGUGAGGGAAGAGACACCGU